UACGUAGGUGGCAAGCGUUGUCCGGAUUUACUGGGCGUAAAGAGCGCGCAGGCGGCUGGCCAAGUCCGAUGUGAAAGCCCCCGGCUUAACCGGGGAGGGUCGUUGGGGACGGCGGGGCUUGAGGGCGGGAGAGGUCGGUGGAAUUCCCGGUGUAGUGGUGAAAUGCGUAGAGAUCGGGAGGAACACCUGUGGCGAAGGCGGCCGACUGGGCCGACCCUGACGCUGAGGCGCGAAGGCGUGGGGAGCGAACGGG
RNAcentral lists this ribosomal RNA (253 nucleotides) under uncultured bacterium. RNAcentral's name for it is "partial 16S ribosomal RNA". It matches the Rfam family "Bacterial small subunit ribosomal RNA", at positions 524 to 776 of the family's 1533-position model. The record is from RNAcentral.